Molecule: long non-coding RNA, 190 nt
Organism: Sphaeramia orbicularis (orbiculate cardinalfish)
Lineage: Eukaryota; Metazoa; Chordata; Actinopteri; Kurtiformes; Apogonidae
Exons: 3
Source: RefSeq, a predicted model, not a curated record
AUUACCCCUCUAUUCUGUGCUAAAUUUAAAAAAGAUUUGGUUUCCUGAUGUGUCCUCACAUACUGCGCCAUGUUUCUUUUAAAACUCUUCUUCGCUUGUUGGAACAUUCGUCAACAUCCCCUUGUUUUUGUUCAUGUGACUCUGGUUGUGGAAAAAGGUCUUUCCAUUGCAAUUUUGCACAAUAAACCAA